AUGCCUGCGCUCGCUGUCGACGCUGCCGCCCCCGUGGCCCACGCCUUCCCCGCGUGCGGCGACGCCUCGCCGCGCUUCGCGGCCGCGCCACUGCUGGGCCCCGCCGUCGCCGUAGCCGCGGCCGCUGCUGCCGACAAGCCCGAGAUGGCCGCCUGGUCGGCCGACCUCUCGUCGGCGCUCUACAACGUCGACGGCUGGGGCGCGCCCUACUUCUUCGUCAACGACGACGGCGACGUCGCGGUGCGCCCGCACGGCGCCGCCACGCUCCCCGGCCAGGAGAUCGACCUCGCCAAGGUCGUCGCCCGGGCGGCCGGCGCGCGCGCCGGCGGCGGGCUCGGCCUCGCGCUGCCGCUGCUCGUGCGCUUCCCCGACGUGCUGCGCCACCGCGUCGAGACCCUCAACGCCGCCUUCGCCUACGCCGUGCGCUCCACGGGCUACGCCGGGCGGUACCAGGGCGUCUACCCCGUCAAGUGCAACCAGGACCGGUACGUGGUCGAGGACAUCGUCGAGUUCGGCGCGCCCUUCGGGUUCGGCCUCGAGGCCGGCUCCAAGCCCGAGCUGCUGCUCACCAUGAGCUGCCUCGUCGCCCGCGGCAGCCCCGACGCCCUGCUCAUCUGCAACGGCUACAAGGACCUCGAGUACGUCUCGCUCGCGCUCAUCGCCCGCACCAUGGGCCUCAACACCGUCAUCGUGCUCGAGCAGGAGGAGGAGCUCGACAUUGUCGUCGAGGCCAGCCGCCGCCUCAACAUCCGCCCGGUGGUCGGCAUGCGCGCCAAGCUGCGCACCAAGCACGCCGGCCACUUCGGCGCCACCUCCGGCGAGAAGGGCAAGUUCGGCCUCAACGCCGCGCAGAUUCUCUCCGUGGUGGCCAAGCUCAAGGCCCUCGCCAUGCUCGACUGCCUCCAGCUCCUGCACUUCCACAUUGGCUCCCAGAUCCCCACCACCGCCCUGCUCGCCGACGGCGUUGGCGAGGCCGCGCAGAUCUACUGCGAGCUCGCCCGCCUCGGCGCGGCCAUGCGCGUCAUUGACGUCGGCGGCGGCCUCGGCAUCGACUACGACGGGACGCACUCGGCGCAGACCGACAUGUCGGUGGCCUACAGCCUGGAGGAGUACGCGGCGGCCGUGGUCGCCGCCGUCGGCCGCGUCUGCGACCGCAAGGGCGUGCAGCACCCUGUCAUCUGCAGCGAGAGCGGCCGCGCGCUGGUGUCGCACCACUCGGUCCUCAUCUUCGAGGCCUUCUCCGCGACGGCGCCGGCUUCCAACAUGAUGGACCCGGCCACCGCCUACCUGCUCGACGAGCUCACCGACGACUGCCGCAGCGACUACCGCAACCUCAUGGCCUCCGCCGUGCGCGGCGACUUCGACACCUGCGGCCUGUACGCCGACCAGCUGAAGCGGCGCUGCGCCGAGCAGUUCAAGGAGGGGGUCCUCGGGCUGGAGCACCUCGCCGCCGUGGACGGGCUCUGCGAGAUCGUCGCCCGCGGCAUGGGCGCGGCGGAGGGGCCGCGCAGGUACCACAUCAACCUGUCGGUGUUCACCUCGCUGCCGGACAUGUGGGCCAUCGAGCAGCUCUUCCCCAUCAUCCCCAUCCAGCGCCUCCAGGAGCGGCCCGCCGUGGACGGCGUGCUCUCGGACCUGACCUGCGACAGCGACGGCAAGGUGGACCAGUUCAUCGGCGGCAGGAGCAGCCUCCCCCUGCACGAGCUCCCGACCCACGGCACCCGCGGCUACUACCUGGGCAUGUUCCUGGGCGGCGCCUACCAGGAGGCGCUGGGCGGCCUGCACAACCUGUUCGGCGGGCCGAGCGUGGUGCGCGUCUCCCAGAGCGACGGGCCACACUGCUUCGCCGUGACGCGCGCCGCGCCAGGCCCGUCGUGCGCCGACGUGCUCCGCGCCAUGCAGCACGAGCCGGAGGUGAUGUUCGAGGUGCUCAAGCAGAGGACCACCGACGACGGCGCCACCGCCGCGGCGCUCGCCAGGGCGUUCGGGUCAAUGCCGUACCUGUCGUUCGACGCCGAGGAGGCCUCGGCCAUGAGCGGCGCGGAGUCGAGCGGCAUGAGCAGCGACUCGGAGGGGUCGGCUGCCGGCGCCGCCGAGGAUGAUGACGAGGAGUGGGAGUUCAUGCGCGGGCUCACCGUGUGA
This 2142-nucleotide ribosomal RNA is filed under the name Triticum aestivum (bread wheat). RNAcentral's name for it is "partial small subunit ribosomal RNA". Lineage: Eukaryota; Viridiplantae; Streptophyta; Magnoliopsida; Poales; Poaceae. The record is from RNAcentral.